GACGAACGCUGGCGGCGUGCUUAACACAUGCAAGUCGAACGGAAAGGCCCUGCUUUUGUGGGGUGCUCGAGUGGCGAACGGGUGAGUAACACGUGAGUAACCUGCCCUUGACUUUGGGAUAAAUUCAGGAAACUGGGGCUAAUACCGGAUAGGAGCUCCUGCUGCAUGGUGGGGGUUGGAAAGUUUUGGCGGUUGGGGAUGGACUCGCGGCUCAUCAGCUUGUUGGUGGGGUAGUGGCUUACCAAGGCUUUGACGGGUAGCCGGCCUGAGAGGGUGACCGGCCACAUUGGGACUGAGGUACGGCCCAGACUGCUACGGGAGGCAGCAGUGGAAAAUAUUGCACAAUGGGCGGAAGCCUGAUGCAGCAACUCCGCGUGCGAGAUGACUGCCUUCGGGGUGGAAACCGCUUUCGCCUGUGACGAAGCUUGAGUGACGGUAAUGAGUAAAGAAGCACCGGCUAACUACGUG
RNAcentral lists this ribosomal RNA (468 nucleotides) under uncultured bacterium. RNAcentral describes it as "partial 16S ribosomal RNA". It matches the Rfam family "Bacterial small subunit ribosomal RNA", at positions 28 to 507 of the family's 1533-position model. The record is from RNAcentral.